RNAcentral lists this ribosomal RNA (324 nucleotides) under Meriderma aggregatum. Its description in RNAcentral is "bacterial SSU rRNA". It matches the Rfam family "Eukaryotic small subunit ribosomal RNA", at positions 80 to 345 of the family's 1831-position model. Lineage: Eukaryota; Evosea; Eumycetozoa; Stemonitida; Stemonitidae. The record is from RNAcentral.
UCUGAAUCUGCGUACGGCUCCGCACACCAGUUGUAAACCAAAGCAAGCAAGCCUGACCCCGAGGCCUUCACAGGUCAAAGGGCCAGGUUACAAGGAUAACCCUGGUAAUUCUGAGGCUAAUACGUGACACGAACCUGUCGACUGGGGGCUUGCCCCUGGGAAGCGGGGGAUGUGCGACUAUCGGGCCAAAAACAACCGGAAAGAGCGCACGUUCAGACCACUCCAAAAAAGGUAUGCAGGAUCCCUCACGGGGUUUUGCGGAUCUUGUGGCUCUUGCACUGUGCUUCUGACCUAUCAACUAGACGGCAGCUUAAGGGACAUGCU